This 408-nucleotide ribosomal RNA is filed under the name Nasutitermes corniger. Its description in RNAcentral is "partial 16S ribosomal RNA". Lineage: Eukaryota; Metazoa; Arthropoda; Insecta; Blattodea; Termitidae. The record is from RNAcentral.
CGGACAUAGAAUAUUUGCCUAAUUCCUUAAAAGGAAUUAAACACCCAAAAGCGGACAUAAAACUUUGCCGAAUUCCUCAAAAGCAAUUAACACCUACCAUCUCUCACAAAACAACCAAUAAAAUUUACUAAUUACACAAUAAUUACUAUACAAACCAAAGUAAAGAAAACAUUUCAAUAAAUAACUUAAAUAACAAAAAAUUAAAAAAAGAACAAAUAAAAUUUUAACAUAAUCAAAUAGAAAAUCACCAUAAAAUCCACAAAACUAAAUUAAACUCAGACAAUUAUAAAAGCAGAACAAGGAGCUAAUCCCCCUUAAUCUUAACAUCAAAUAAAAAUAAAUAAAUCAACAACAGAAAUUAAAUAAGAUGUAUGAAUUAAAUUCAUUUCUUGAAAAACCAGAAACCAC